RNAcentral lists this ribosomal RNA (554 nucleotides) under Megalaria versicolor. Its description in RNAcentral is "Lopezaria versicolor partial large subunit ribosomal RNA". It matches the Rfam family "Eukaryotic large subunit ribosomal RNA", at positions 69 to 633 of the family's 3401-position model. The record is from RNAcentral. Lineage: Eukaryota; Fungi; Ascomycota; Lecanoromycetes; Lecanorales; Megalariaceae.
CCGGGAUUGCCCCAGUAACGGCGAAGUGAAGCGGCAACAGCUCAAAUUUGAAAUCUGGCUCCUUCGGGGUCCGAGUUGUAAUUUGGAGAGGAUGUUUCGGGCGCGGUGCCGGUCUAAGUCCCUUGGAACAGGGCGUCACAGAGGGUGAGAAUCCCGUAUGUGACCGGUGACCAACCCCAGGUGAAACGCCUUCGACGAGUCGAGUUGUUUGGGAAUGCAGCUCAAAAUGGGUGGUAAAUUUCAUCUAAAGCUAAAUAUUGGCCAGAGACCGAUAGCGCACAAGUAGAGUGAUCGAAAGAUGAAAAGCACUUUGGAAAGAGAGUCAAACAGUACGUGAAAUUGUUGAAAGGGAAGCGCUUGGCACCAGACCUGCCUGCGGGCGAUCAACGGCCGGUCGCUCGGUCGUGUACUCGUCCGUCAGCAGGCCAGCAUCGGUUUGGGCGGUUGGAUAAAGGCCGUGGGAAUGUGGCUCCCCUCGGGGUGUGUUAUAGCCCACGGCGGAAUACGGCCAGCCUGGACUGAGGACCGCGCCUUCGGGCUAGGAUGCUGGCAUA